Molecule: ribosomal RNA, 406 nt
Filed under: uncultured bacterium
Lineage: Bacteria
Description: partial 16S ribosomal RNA
Rfam family: Bacterial small subunit ribosomal RNA
Source: RNAcentral
GACGAACGCUGGCGGCAUGCUUUACACAUGCAAGUCGGACGAGUGGCGGACGGGUGAGUAACGCAUCGGAACGUACCGUGUAAAGGGGGAUAACUGUCCGAAAGUAUAGCUAAUACCGCAUACUAUUCGAUCGGCCGAUGUCGGAUUAGCUGGUUGGUGGGGUAAAGGCCCACCAAGGCGACGAUCAGUAGCGGGUCUGAGAGGAUGACCCGCCACACUGGGACUGAGACACGGCCCAGACUCCUACGGGAGGCAGCAGUGGGGAAUUUUGGACAAUGGGCGCAAGCCUGAUCCAGCCAUGCCGCGUGUCUGAAGAAGGCCUUCGGGUUGUAAAGGACUUUUGGCAGGGAAGCGGUACCUGAAGAAGAAGCACCGGCUAACUACGUGCCAGCAGCCGCGGUAAUAC